Non-coding RNA from Pelobates cultripes (western spadefoot toad), 907 nucleotides. The record is from the annotation of a GenBank genome assembly. Lineage: Eukaryota; Metazoa; Chordata; Amphibia; Anura; Pelobatidae.
GUUACUAUUUCAUCUAUCAUUAUUAUACAAACUAUAACAAAUGUAAAGAUUUUUCCACAGAUUUUACCUGUUAACAUUUUUAGCACAACAGCACCUGAUGUCAGUGAGAUUCCAAUACAGCAAAAAGAGGCGUUCUUGAAAAUCCACUUCGAUUGCUGUAUCAACAUAACAUUUACUAUAAUUGGAUCCAUGUCACUUAAGACAAUGUCUUGGAAAUUAUGUCAAUUAAUUGAUUCCGUAAAAGAAUAUCGGAGAGUAUCCAAUCUAUACACAUCAUAAAUGGUGUAAAAAUGUUUCAUAGAAAAAACAAAAUAAAAAAAGACAAAGACAAAUACCAACACCAUCACCAAGGUGAUAACAGAUGAUGCUGAUUUAAUAUCUGCAACCAAUUCUAGCCAAAUAUUUGGAAAGCUGGACUCUACAACCAAUACUAAACAACAAAUACCCGGGUAUUCUACAAACACAACCUCCAGCAAUGUAUCUAAAAAAUUUAAACUUCUACAGGCAUUUAAAGACUUUGAAUUACAAAUACAAUUACUACUUUUAAUUUUGGAUUACAAUUCGUAUCCGGAUCCAUCCAAGAAUAUCUUACUCUGGAACUUGGUGUUCUUUUCAAUUCUUUCCCAGACAAAAGCUUUGCUCAUUUUAAUCAACCACCUUUACAUGCAAAGAUCACACUACGGAUAUUUUACUGUUACAACAAUGAUCAAAGAUGCUGGGAGCACAAAAAAACAAAAGACUGUUGGAGAACUUUGGUUCACUAAUUUAAGGAAGAAAUACGCUACAAUGCCCACAGUUUAAUGGAGAGGGUGUUAUGGGCAAAUGCAAAUAUUACAAGUUUUAGAAUGAAAUGUUGUAUUUCUUAAACUGUGUACUUUGUCUUUAAGAGAUAUUGCAAACUGACAAG